UGCAGUCGAGGGGUAUAGGUUUUCGGACCUAGAGACCGGCGCACGGGUGCGUAACGCGUAUGCAAUCUACCUUUUACAGAGGGAUAGCCCAGAGAAACUUGGAUUAAUACCUCAUAGUAUUAUUGAAUGGCAUCAUUUAAUAAUUAAAGUCACAACGGUAAAAGAUGAGCAUGCGUCCCAUUAGCUAGUUGGUAAGGUAACGGCUUACCAAGGCAACGAUGGGUAGGGGUCCUGAGAGGGAGAUCCCCCACACUGGUACUGAGACACGGACCAGACUCCUACGGGAGGCAGCAGUGAGGAAUAUUGGUCAAUGGGCGCAAGCCUGAACCAGCCAUGCCGCGUGCAGGAUGAAGCAUCUAUGGUGUGUAAACUGCUUUUGUACGAGAAGAAACACUCCUUCGUGAAGGAGCUUGACGGUAUCGUAAGAAUAAGGACCGGCUAACUCCGUGCCAGCAGCCGCGGUAAUACGGAGGGUCCAAGCGUUAUCCGGAAUCAUUGGGUUUAAAGGGUCCGUAGGCGGUUUUGUAAGUCAGUGGUGAAAGCCCAUCGCUCAACGGUGGAACGGCCAUUGAUACUGCAAGACUUGAAUUAUUGGGAAGUAACUAGAAUAUGUAGUGUAGCGGUGAAAUGCUUAGAGAUUACAUGGAAUACCAAUUGCGAAGGCAGGUUACUACCAAUAUAUUGACGCUGAUGGACGAAAGCGUGGGGAGCGAACAGGAUUAGAUACCCUGGUAGUC
RNAcentral lists this ribosomal RNA (737 nucleotides) under uncultured bacterium. RNAcentral describes it as "bacterial SSU rRNA". It matches the Rfam family "Bacterial small subunit ribosomal RNA", at positions 56 to 795 of the family's 1533-position model. The record is from RNAcentral.